RNAcentral lists this ribosomal RNA (480 nucleotides) under uncultured bacterium. RNAcentral's name for it is "partial 16S ribosomal RNA". It matches the Rfam family "Bacterial small subunit ribosomal RNA", at positions 28 to 523 of the family's 1533-position model. The record is from RNAcentral.
GAUGAACGCUGGCGGCGUGCUUAACACAUGCAAGUCGAGCGAUGAAGUUUUCUUCGGGAAAUGGAUUAGCGGCGGACGGGUGAGUAACACGUGGGUAACCUGCCUCAUAGAGUGGAAUAGCCUUUCGAAAGGAAGAUUAAUACCGCAUAAUGUUGAAAGAUGGCAUCAUCAUUCAACCAAAGGAGCAAUCCGCUAUGAGAUGGACCCGCGGCGCGUUAGCUAGUUGGUGGGGUAACGGCCUACCAAGGCGACGAUGCGUAGCCGACCUGAGAGGGUGAUCGGCCACAUUGGGACUGAGACACGGCCCAGACUCCUACGGGAGGCAGCAGUGGGGAAUAUUGCACAAUGGGGGAAACCCUGAUGCAGCAACGCCGCGUGAGUGAUGAAGGUUUUCGGAUCGUAAAGCUCUGUCUUUGGGGAAGAUAAUGACGGUACCCAAGGAGGAAGCCACGGCUAACUACGUGCCAGCCGCCGCCGCAG